This 465-nucleotide ribosomal RNA is filed under the name uncultured bacterium. RNAcentral's name for it is "partial 16S ribosomal RNA". It matches the Rfam family "Bacterial small subunit ribosomal RNA", at positions 338 to 795 of the family's 1533-position model. The record is from RNAcentral.
CCUACGGGUGGCAGCAGUAGGGAAUCUUCCACAAUGGGCGAAAGCCUGAUGGAGCAACGCCGCGUGGGUGAAGAAGGUCUUCGGAUCGUAAAACCCUGUUGUUAGAGAAGAAAGUGCGUGAGAGUAACUGUUCACGUUUCGACGGUAUCUAACCAGAAAGCCACGGCUAACUACGUGCCAGCAGCCGCGGUAAUACGUAGGUGGCAAGCGUUAUCCGGAUUUAUUGGGCGUAAAGGGAACGCAGGCGGUCUUUUAAGUCUGAUGUGAAAGCCUUCGGCUUAACCGGAGUAGGUCAUUGGAAACUGGGAGACUUGAGUGCAGAAGAGGAGAGUGGAACUCCAUGUGUAGCGGUGAAAUGCGUAGAGAUAUGGAAGAACACCAGUGGCGAAAGCGGCUUUCUGGUCUGUAACUGACGCUGAGGUUCGAAAGCGUGAGUAGCAAACAGGAUUAGAUACCCGAGUAGUC